RNAcentral lists this ribosomal RNA (502 nucleotides) under uncultured bacterium. RNAcentral describes it as "partial 16S ribosomal RNA". It matches the Rfam family "Bacterial small subunit ribosomal RNA", at positions 28 to 507 of the family's 1533-position model. The record is from RNAcentral.
GACGAACGCUGGCGGCGUGCUUAACACAUGCAAGUCGAACGGUGAAGGGGCCUGCUUUUGUGGGCCCUGGAUGAGUGGCGAACGGGUGAGUAACACGUGAGUAACCUGCCCCCUUCUUCUGGAUAACCGCAUGAAAGUGUGGCUAAUACGGGAUAUUCUGGGUCUGUCGCAUGAUGGGUCUGGGAAAGAUUGCGCCUUUGGGUGUUUUUGGUGGGGGAUGGGCUCGCGGCCUAUCAGCUUGUUGGUGGGGUGAUGGCCUACCAAGGCGGUGACGGGUAGCCGGCCUGAGAGGGUGGACGGUCACACUUGGACUGAGACACGGCCCAGACUCCUACGGGAGGCAGCAGUGGGGAAUAUUGCACAAUGGGCGCAAGCCUGAUGCAGCGACGCCGCGUGAGGGAUGGAGGCCUUCGGGUUGUAAACCUCUUUCGCCAGUGAAGCAGGCCUGCUCCUUGUGGGUGGGUUGACGGUAGCUGGAUAAGAAGCGCCGGCUAACUACGUG